AACAACGCCCGCACUACCUUCUGAUUCUCCACCUCCUCUUCAUCCUCCAUCCCCCUUUUACUUCUCUCUCCCCCGUCUCUCCUCCCUCCCGCCUCCUUUCUCCCUCUCCCCCUCCCUCUCUCCUCUGAAUAAGCAAGCUUUUGCCUCUAAAAGUCACAAGUAAUCCUCGUGUGUGACAGAGAGAGAGAGAGAGAGAGAGAGAGAGAGAGAGAGAGAAACGAGCUGGCGGAGAGGAGCAGAAGGCAGGAGGGGAAAUCUGGCACAACGGCUGGGAGAGGAAACUUGAUGCUUCUGGGCCACCAUUUGCCAGGGCCUCGCUCGAGCCGGCGCCUCGGUUCCUGCCCAGCUGGAUUUGGGGGGCAGCAUUGCCUGGCGCAGGGAGAUCAAAUGAGACUGCAAAGAAGCAUAAAAUGAAUAGACAAUCCAACCAACCAAAGACCGGGGGCAGCAGCAGGCCAGCAAGACGGCAUCUUCUCCUUCCCAGCCUAGAAGCCCUGUGAAAUCGAGGAUCUUCCCCCUAAAACACAUACACACAAGAUAUGUGCAAUCAAGCUGCCACCGCUUGGUAAAAAGCCAUGGUGCCUAACCAAAAAGGAUCAGGAACAGAUCCUUGAAUCAGCUGUCACUUCUAUAGAAUGGGAUUUUUUUUUCCUUCCUCCUUAACCUGCGCUGGAAAUUGCCGUUGGCUUUAUACAUCUCUAUAGAGAGAGGCUAAAGAGUCUUGCGUGAGAAAGAAGCAAUUUACAAUGCAAAUAGAGGCCUGUGAAGGGACGGAUGCUGCUGCUCACUCGUAACAGCUUGCUGCACCUUAAUAGCUGGUUUUAUUUUCUGAUAUUAAUAGAUGAAUUGUUGGCUAACGCUGCCGGAGAUUACUUGCUGAAAGGAAAAAGAAAAGUUCGGAAUAAACUCUGAAGGCAACAGAUCUCGUUUGGAUGUUUUAGCCGCGCACACACACAAACAGAAACCAGGUCAUAUUUACAUAAAAGGAGGAAUCUUAAGCGCGGCAAGUAUCCUGGACGACCACUCUUCGGUACUGCCAGAAAGGAUCAGGACCUGGAGUCUGGCAAGAGGAAGACAGAGGCCUGUGUGGGAAGCGAGUUGUUAUCUUUGGUUAUCUAGCUGUAUGAGUGUAUUGGUCUUCAUAAAGCUAGAUAACCGAAAGUAAAAACUCCUUCAAGAUCGCCGGGGAGCGUGUGAGAAUGAAAGACUACAGCCGAGAGACAGUAAAAACCAGAAAGGUCAGGAAUACUUAUUGAAUCUAACUUUGUUUUUGUUUUGUUUUUUUCCUUAUGAUUAAAGGUGGGAUGAGAGAAAAUUAAAUGACACACACAUGCUAAAAUAUCAAGGUUCCAGAUAUGUCUUGAGAGGGGUUGUUGCAGCUGCAAAGGAGAAGUGUAUAGUGAUAAUGAGUAAAGAUGCAUGUGCAGUUUGUUCUAUUUUAAGGCAAAAGUUAUAUCAGGGAUUUUUUUCUUAGAAAGGUGUUGCAGAGAUGUCUGGUACCUAGUUUAAAAAUGAUUCCAUAAUAUGUAGACUUGGGCAGUUCCUUUGGGAGGCACCUCCCUCUCAAAAUUUGAAGAUUGUGCUUGGAAAUUACUUUACAUGUAUUUGGGCUGUAUGUCAAUUUGUACGAAAUUAGACUUUCAGAAAAGUUUAUACUGGAAGGUUAAUAAUUUGUAUCUACUGAGGACUUAGAGCUAGCAGGCAAAAUGAAAAAAAAAAAAAAAAAAGCAAGGGCUGAUUUUUAUUCUUCUAUUCAAAAUACAAGGACAGAUGCUUCUCUGUUCCAAGAGGGUUUCCUUGAGGAAGCUACUGAAGCAGAAAGACAUGAUGGAGACGAGAUCGCCUCCCCUCUUGUCAAAGUGUUAAAAAAAUGUUCUGUCUUACUCUGCGCCUAGCAUUGGAAAUGAAAGUGACAUUUACGCCACAACCCACGUGUGCGCCUCCUCUCUUUUUGUUUAAGGAUGAUCAGGUCUAUCCAGGAAACAGCUCUGGCAUCCCAAACUGAAAUAAUUAGGACGUAUAUAGACCUGACAAAAAUGGAAAGGGGGUGGGGAAUCUGAGGGUCUGUCUUGCCUAAUUGAUUCCGCUAAACGGAAUGCAGGAGAUGUGAACGGCAGGACGCUCCGAUUCCCACGCUCGGGGGCAAGUGAUAAAGCGGGGCCGGGCAGCCUAUGACAGACAGCCCUGUUGGGGGGUGGGGGUAUGAAAAAAACAUCAAGUGCACACACCAUACUCAUCUCCAUCGCUUAAGAAAGUAAAGGCAUUUCCCACCCACAGCCAUCUGCAGCUUCCCAAAUGGCAGCACCAACUGGUCUGUAGCUGCUACAUAGUCUGCUUCUGUUAAUUUUUUAACCACUGUUUAAUCUGGCCAUAAUUAAGUUUGGCUUUCUUCGUUGUUUGAGAUUUUCAGAAUUCAAGGCAAGCUAGUAGAAAGCAAUUCCAAGAAAGUCCCAUGACUGCCUGCCCCUAAUGUCAAAAUCUCAGUCCAUGAGAUUAUGGCCUUGUGACCACAUUUUUGCUUUUGUUUUGGGUGGGCAAAUGUGUAUAGAGAUAAAAUACAUAUCUCUAUAUAACAGUCGUUAUUAUAAUUUCAUGAGGCUUUUUACCUCUUAACAUGAUACAUCUAGGAACUUGGUCUAAUUGUGCUAGUAGAUAUACACUAGAAGUAAAACUAUAAAGUCAUUAGCCUGUAGAAAGUUGAUUAUGAUAACAAUAUGAUAAAAAGUUUGUUUUGGAAUAGUCUCAGCUAGAUGGGUCUAAAUAGCCAUUUUAAUGUAAUCUAAAAAUAACACUAUGCCUAGCAGAAACUUUGGCGCUUUGGAGGUCCCCAUUGUCGCCUUUUCAUAAAAGUCCUUAAGUUUUCCAUAUGUCACCAAGCAAACAUUUGUAUAGGCAUUUACACAGAAAUAUAACCAUUGCAAUUAGAAAAUAUCCAAAAUAGCCUGUUAUCUUCCACGUGGCCUAGAUUAUUGACAAUCCCAAAUAUACAAUUUUUCUUUAAAAGUAGUACAAUUUCCUUUGUAGCUUCAAUUCCUUAUAUGACUUCAGACUGGAGAAGCCUGUUAAACCACUGUUAGUUUCAGUUAGAAAGUCUGAGAGACUUUAUACAUAAAUUCUCAAUUUGGCUGCUGUACACGUGCCAGAGUUUUACUACUGUAGUGACCGUUGAGAAGACCCUUGUUUAUUUACAUUUGAAGCACUGUUUGUGCAAACAACCUUUCAUUGUUAAGUGCCUGUAUUCCUUUCAUUUACUUCAUGUCCAGGGGUGCUAUUUACCUAGAACCAUUGUCUACUACAAUUAACAUUUACAUUACAAAGUGUGUGGUUUUCUUUUUCAAGGAGGUUCAAUUAAGGCAAUAAGAUGUUUGCUGGAGAAACCUAUUGUUUACUGAAAGCACUCAAUGAAGUCAAAUUACUGAAGCUUUUGCCUACAUCUUGGUCUUUUAUGUAAAUAUGUUAAAUAUAACAUCUAAGGAAAAUAAACAAUAUUAUAAUUAUGUGUUUGCCAUUGUCAUAUCAAACUUGCUUUGUAUCAUACUAAUGUUACAUAACUUAUCGAUCAAUAAAAAUACAUUUCAAUGUU
Homo sapiens (human) is the source of this 3583-nucleotide long non-coding RNA. Ensembl annotates it as MIR9-2 host gene. Its record names the gene MIR9-2HG. NCBI's taxonomy places the organism in Eukaryota, Metazoa, Chordata, Mammalia, Primates, Hominidae. The record is from Ensembl.